GACGAACGCUGGCGGCGUGCUUAACACAUGCAAGUCGAGCGGGAACCUCGGCAGGGGUAACCCUUCCGAGGGGAGAGCGGCGAACGGGUGAGUAACACGUGGGCAACCUGCCCCGGACACCGGGAUAACCCAGGGAAACCUGAGCUAAUACCGGAUACUCCGGCACGAUCGCAUGGUCGUGCCGGGAAAAGCUCCGACGGUCCGGGAUGGGCCCGCGGCCUAUCAGCUUGUUGGUGAGGUAACGGCCCACCAAGGCGACGACGGGUAGCUGGUCUGAGAGGACGGCCAGCCACACUGGGACUGAGACACGGCCCAGACUCCUACGGGAGGCAGCAGUGGGGAAUCUUGCGCUAAUGCGCGAAAGCGUGACGCAGCGACGCCGCGUGGGGAUGAAGGCCCUCGGGUUGUAAACCCCUUUCGCCAGGGAAGAAGGGAAACUGACGGUACC
Molecule: ribosomal RNA, 448 nt
Filed under: uncultured bacterium
Lineage: Bacteria
Description: bacterial SSU rRNA
Rfam family: Bacterial small subunit ribosomal RNA
Source: RNAcentral